Talpa occidentalis (Iberian mole) is the source of this 1895-nucleotide long non-coding RNA. RefSeq lists it as uncharacterized. Lineage: Eukaryota; Metazoa; Chordata; Mammalia; Eulipotyphla; Talpidae. The record is from RefSeq and is a predicted model, not a curated record. The transcript has 4 exons.
AAAAUUUGUUUUUACUGGAUUAUUUUUGUUAAGUAGUAGUGUUCUUUUGCAUGUCAAGUUUAAGUUAUACACUUCCUCUUUUUCCUCAAAAUGAAUUUCUGGUGGAUCUUAUUUUUCCUUAACUUUGAGCAUUUCCAAAUUCAGUUUUUCCUCUACAUACUUUUCUACAGAUUUCACGUAUGUCCUCCAAGUUCCCUUUACCCUGUAUAAUGCUGAAUCUUUUUUCUUCAAAUAACCAAUCCUUUGCAAUGUUCUAACAGCCAUUAAGACCAAAUCUUGUUAAAAGAAGAUGGUGGUGUUAAAUCAACACCACACAAGUUAAUGCAUAUCCAGCACCAUCUUUCUUUGCGCUCUGGCAAAUGUUUUUAAGCAAGAUUAAAUAUUCACCUGUUCCACUUAUACAAUGGCAACCUUCAAAUCUUUAAAACCUAAUUCCUCUCAAACAGCUCUUUGUGAUUUCCAAUAGCAAAAAAAAGUAGCAUUACUGUUCUCUUAAUGGUGCUUCUAGCCCUAGACUCUCAAACUUUUUUAACAAUUAGUUGCCAAAUUCUACUAACAUCUGUACCUCCCUUUUCCUCAGGAAACUAUUAAGUCUGUCUCUAAAAGCUCAUCUUGUCCACAUCCACCUACAAAGUCAUCACCAAAUUGACUUCAUCGCUCUACUCAAAAUGCUGCAGUGGCUCUGAAAUUACUAUCAACUAAAAUCCAAAUUCCCUGUCCCAGCAUUCAAGUAUCCAAUGAGCAGCGUCCCUCCAGCGGACACACACACUGCCAACUUCCUUCCAAAUCCACCAGCUUCUCUGCUUCCCAAAAUCCCCCAGGGUCCAAGUCUUACAGACCCGUUUCCUCUGAGCGCUGACUCUUCCUUCAGCACACCUACAGACAUGUUUUCACCCCGGAAAUUUAUUUUUCCGUACAAAUGAAGGAAUGAUUUGGGAUUUAGAAAUACUCGUACAGAAAUGGAGUUUAACCUGCCGCAAAGGAAAAAAGGGGGAAGUGUGAUGUGAUAGGACAAGCAAAUAAUGUAGUGAGGCUCCAACCUCACAGUUCGAAUGUGUUCCAGCAAGUUGAUACUCCUCUUUGAUUAAAUUACACCCCCAAGAAGUACUGAUGACCAAAGAUUUCAGGACUAUAAAUUAGGAGGAAGAAAGGGAGAACAUUUAUAAUUCUCCAGGUACCUUAAAUAACUCUGAAACAUAAUCUAAAGCAAGAUGUGGAAAACACCUCGACACCCUAGAGGCCCACCUUCCUCCCAGCAAGUUUUUGUGAAAACCCUUACUGGGGAGACUUUCACUCCUGAGGCUGAGCCCGCAGAUGUAACAGAACAUGCCCCAGGAGGAGGAGUGCCUCCUCAUCAGCAAAGACUGACUGCUAUGGGCCAGCAAGUGGAAGAUGGACAUACUUUGAGGACAACAUUCAAAAGGAGUUCACUCUUCGUUUCGUCUUGCGUGGUGCUAAGAGUCUUUCACCACUCCCAGGAAGAUCAAACCCUAGAGGAAGGAAGUUGAGCUGGCUGUCCUGAAAUGUUAGAAGGUGGACUAAACGGUAAAACCUGUCGCCUUAGUCAGGAGUGCCCCUCAGAUGGAUGUGGUGCUGGAGUGUUUACGGCAGACAUUAUUGUGGCAAAGGCUGGCUGACCUAUUGUGACAAAUCAGAAGAAAACUGUGUAUAAAAGGCAUGCACUAAAAAAAAAAAAAAAAAUUUUUUUUUAGAUUUGCAUUUCUGACUACUUAUCAAAGAGGGCAUCUUUCAAUUUACUCUACCCGUCAGCUGGUUCCUCCUUUGUGUACUGCCAGUGAGUCUUUUGCUCAUUUCUCUUGGAGUUGCUUUUUCUAUCCUUACUGAAUUGUAGGCAUUUGAAAAAAUAUUUGGAUUACAAAAUCUGUGUCACUUUU